GCGCCUGUAGCUCAGGGGAUAGAGCAUUCGCCUCCUAAGCGAAGGGUCGGACGUUCGAUUCGUCUCAGGCGCGCCA
This 76-nucleotide transfer RNA is filed under the name Clostridiales bacterium. RNAcentral describes it as "tRNA-Arg". It matches the Rfam family "tRNA". Rfam says of the family: Transfer RNA (tRNA) molecules are approximately 80 nucleotides in length. RNAcentral also lists the same sequence under 2 other names. The record is from RNAcentral. Lineage: Bacteria; Bacillati; Bacillota; Clostridia; Eubacteriales.